RNAcentral lists this ribosomal RNA (485 nucleotides) under uncultured bacterium. RNAcentral describes it as "bacterial SSU rRNA". It matches the Rfam family "Bacterial small subunit ribosomal RNA", at positions 27 to 507 of the family's 1533-position model. The record is from RNAcentral.
CGAUUGAACGCUGGCGGCAUGCCUUACACAUGCAAGUCGAACGGUAGCGGGCCUUCGGGUGCCGACGAGUGGCGAACGGGUGAGUAAUGUAUCGGAACGUACCAUUGAGUGGGGGAUAACGUAGCGAAAGUUACGCUAAAUACCGCAUAUUCUCUCCGGAGGAAAGCAGGGGACCGCAAGGCCUUGCGCUCUUUGAGCGGCCGAUAUCAGAUUAGCUAGUUGGUGAGGUAAAGGCUCACCAAGGCGACGAUCUGUAGCGGGUCUGAGAGGAUGAUCCGCCACACUGGAACUGAGACACGGUCCAGACUCCUACGGGAGGCAGCAGUGGGGAAUUUUGGACAAUGGGGGCAACCCUGAUCCAGCCAUGCCGCGUGAGUGAAGAAGGCCUUCGGGUUGUAAAGCUCUUUCGGCCGGGAAGAAAUCGUAUGGGUUAAUACCCUGUGCGGAUGACGGUACCGGCAUAAGAAGCACCGGCUAACUACGUG